UACGGAGGGUGCAAGCGUUAUCCGGAUUCACUGGGUUUAAAGGGUGCGUAGGAGGGCAGGGAAGUCCGUGGUGAAAUCCUAGAGCUUAACUCUAGAACUGCCGUGGAUACUCUCUGUCUUGAAUCCCGUGGAGAUGAGCGGAAUAUGUCAUGUAGCGGUGAAAUGACUUAGAUAUGACAUAGAACACCAAUUGCGAAGGCAGCUCGUUACACGAAGAUUGACUCUGAGGCACGAAAGCGUGGGGAUCAAACAGG
RNAcentral lists this ribosomal RNA (254 nucleotides) under uncultured bacterium. RNAcentral describes it as "partial 16S ribosomal RNA". It matches the Rfam family "Bacterial small subunit ribosomal RNA", at positions 524 to 776 of the family's 1533-position model. The record is from RNAcentral.